RNAcentral lists this ribosomal RNA (253 nucleotides) under uncultured bacterium. RNAcentral's name for it is "partial 16S ribosomal RNA". It matches the Rfam family "Bacterial small subunit ribosomal RNA", at positions 524 to 776 of the family's 1533-position model. The record is from RNAcentral.
UACGUAGGCAGCGAGCGUUGUUCGGAGUUACUGGGCGUAAAGCGUGCGUAGGCGGUUGUCUAAGUCUGGUGUGAAAUCUCCCGGCUCAACUGGGAGGGUGCGCCGGAAACUGGAUGACUGGAGUGCCGGAGAGGUAAGCGGAAUUCCUGGUGUAGCGGUGAAAUGCGUAGAGAUCAGGAGGAACGCCUGUGGUGUAGACAGCUUACUGGACGGGGACUGACGCUGAGGCACGAAGGCGUGGGUAGCAAACAGG